ACUCCUACGGGAGGCAGCAGUGGGGAAUUUUGGACAAUGGGCGCAAGCCUGAUCCAGCAAUGCCGCGUGCAGGAUGAAGGCCUUCGGGUUGUAAACUGCUUUUGUACGGAACGAAAAGCCCUGGGUUAAUACCCUGGGGUCAUGACGGUACCGUAAGAAAAGCACCGGCUAACUACNGG
Molecule: ribosomal RNA, 179 nt
Filed under: uncultured beta proteobacterium
Lineage: Bacteria; Pseudomonadati; Pseudomonadota; Betaproteobacteria
Description: partial 16S ribosomal RNA
Rfam family: Bacterial small subunit ribosomal RNA
Source: RNAcentral